AUGGGGAUGGCUGUACUUGACGAGGCCCAGCGGCGACGGCGGCAGAGCGUCUACGAGUUCUUGGACGCCACCAAGCCCGCGCGCGCCCAGGCGCUGCGAUGGUGCGAGACUGCGCGGGAGAUGCGUAGGAUCGACGGCGACAUGAAGGAGGCGGCCCAGCUGCUCCGCGGCGCCCUCUCCUGCGUCAAGGACUACGCGUCUGUCUACAAGACGUGGAUCGCCAUGGAGAUGGACGGCGGCGGCGGCGUCGGUGUUGCCCGGUGGCUCUUCGAGGAGUGGGGCACCGUCUGCGCCAAGGAUGGAAACCUCCGCAAGGAUGACGACGGCACCACCGCCGACGAGUACGGCGACUACUGGUGCGCGUACCUCGCGUUCGAGCUCCGUCACGGGGACGCCAGGCGCGCGCGCACCGUGGCGGCACGGGCCGUGAAGGCCUGCCCGCACGACGCCUCGUUGCGCGACACGGUGGAGCUCCGCCUUAGCGACGCCAUCGAGAUCGAGCAGCAGAGGCGGCAUCGGUCGGGUCUGCUUCGCACUGCCAAGAAGUGGCUCACCAACAGCGAGCAGAGUCGCGGCUGCUCAUCACUCGUACCCCGGCCGCCGCAGGGGUACCGGAGGCUCCUCAGCGGCUAG
This 633-nucleotide ribosomal RNA is filed under the name Triticum aestivum (bread wheat). Its description in RNAcentral is "partial small subunit ribosomal RNA". Lineage: Eukaryota; Viridiplantae; Streptophyta; Magnoliopsida; Poales; Poaceae. The record is from RNAcentral.